UAUAUACACACACAUAUAUAUUUAUUUUUAUAUAAUAUAUAUACAUAAUGGAAGCAAAAUAAUAAAAAAUCCUCAAAACUUUUUUCAACUAAAAAUAAAUAUAGAUACUUAUUUACAGACAAUUUUAGCAGUAGUCUUAUUUUCUCAUGCAAAUAACAACAAGGCUAUACCCUGUUACCUCAUGCUGGAAAGCAAGAUGCUUAGUCCAAGUAAAUUUCCUGGACAGUGCAAAUGAUCACUUCAAAAGCAAGCCUCUUAGAGUUCCCUGAUAGCUCUCGGGUUGAGGAUCCAGCAUUAUCAUUGUUGUGGAGUGGGUUCGAGUCCUGGCCCAGGAACUUCUGCAUGCCAAGGGCACUGCCAAAAAUAAAGCAAGCCUCUUCAAAAUGAAUUCUAAUCAUUUGUACGGAAAUAUGUAGUAUUGGCCUAUCUCCUUAAACAGAGUAUUAAACAUGAUUUAACACUGUAAUGAAAAUUGUGUUAUUGAAAUAAUAUCACUAAAAAUACUGUGUCAUCGUGGAUGCUAUUUGCCCUGUCAUGCGAGGGCUCUAGAAGGCAGGUCUUAGUCUGGGUCUGUCCCUCCAGUCAGGCUCCAAGCCGCACUGCUGCUCUUCUUAGUGUGCUUACCAGCUGCUGAUGUGACAUUUUCAGCCUGGGUGGCAGUGUACUCAGAACCAGAAACCAUACGCAGGCAGCCAGGCAAAUUUUUGCCCAUGUGGAAAAUCCGUUUUUGCCACAAGUAUUUAUACUUUUAUAAUCAUAUCAACCUGAUCAUGUCCUGACAUUUGGCUUAGAAUGGAUAAAACUCACUAUGAAUAAGAGAGAAGUUGUUGGAGUUCCCAUUGUGGCUCAGAAUUAAGAACCCGACUAGGAUCCACGAGGACGCAGGUUCGAUCCCUGGCCUCGCUCAGUGGGUUAAGGCUCUGGCAUUGCCGUGAGCUUUGGUGCAGGUUGCAGACACGGCUCUGAUCUGGUGUUGCUGUGGGGUAGGCCUAUUCAACCCCUGAUUCCAGCCCGGGAACUUUCACGUGCUGUGGGUGCGACCCUAAAAAGAAAAAAGAGAGGAGUUGUCGUGUUCCUGGAGCACAUCACCAUUACCCCCCUAAGUCACUAGAAGGGCCAGGAGGAAACUCUUCUCAGAGGUGGAGCACAGGAGGCCAAGGGGAUGGUGCAGGCGCCAUGGAGGCUUUUACAGCAACGAACAGGCUGCUAAAUAAGGCUGCCUAAGCGCUUACAUGGUCAUUAUUGACAACUUGCAUCUUGAGACUUUUCUUUUUUCACUGUGCCACCCAAAACCAUAACACGGAAAGGGUACUACCGCAGAAUCUGUGGCCUCCUGGGUAAGCUCCACGUUCCUUUAUUUUCUGUGAGUUGGGAAAUCAGAGCAGUCAUUUGAUUACAACUGUGUACAAAAGAAGCAUAUGCUCUGAGGAGAGCAGAGGGGGGAUUAUUUGCACUCCCCUGCAAGGCUGGGAAAAAUACUUAUUUACUUUUGCGUUCUUUACUGCAUUUUAGAAAGCUGAGGUGGCCUGGUGGCCCAGAUUAGUUAGAUAAGUGAGAUGUUUGGAAUAUUGUCUUCUGUAAACAAUUCCAUGGUUGGCCUCACCCCCAAAAGCUUGGAUUACCAAGUUUUCAGAAAGUAAAAAUCUUGGAAAAAAAUAUACCCCUAUAGAGAACCUUGUAAACAUACUUAAGAGACAGAGCUGAGCUAUUACCGGGCAUAGUUGAAUGAAGUAAAUGGUAAAUACUGUAUUCUUGCCAUGUCAGCUUUCUAAGCAAGGUUUGUUUCUAAAUUUGCCCAGAAAUGACCUGUUUGACCAUGUGCACGUUUCUGAAACUACAUCCCCCAAGGACUACCUUCCUGAAAGGAGGAUGUCAGGGGUGUCACCGGGCUCCUCAGCAUGGAAGCUCUGACAAGGCGAGAAAAAUAAGGUAUAUAUAUAUGUAUAGCUGGGUCACUUUGCUGUACAGUGGAAAUUGAUAGAACAUUGUAAACCAACUAUAAUUUUUAAUUUUUUUUUUAAAAAGUCACCAAAUGGGUGUCAUGCCACACAAUCAGGAAGUUCUGCCCCCUGAGAUCUAAAUAAGAGACGGACCAUGUCAUGAUCACCCUCCAAUGCACGCCUGUGCCAACCGGUCAGAAGAGCCAUCAUCAACAUCUACAAAUACUAAACACUGGAGAGGGGGUGGAGAAAAAAGAACCCUCUUACGCUGUUGGUGCAAAUGUAGGCUGGUGCAGCCACCGUGGAAAACAGUAUGGAGUUUCCUUUAAAAACUACAUAUAGAACUACCGUAUGACUCAGCAAUCCCACUCCCGAACGUCUAUCCAAAGAAAAUUCUAAUUCGAAAAGACACAUGCACCCCAAUGUAAAUAGAAAAACUAUUUACAACAGCUAAGACAUGGAAGCAACCUAAAUGCCCAUUGACAGAUGAAUGGAUAAAGAAGAUGUGGUGUAUAUACACAAUGGAAUAUUACUCAGCUGCAAGAAAGAAUAAAGCCAUUUGCAGCAACAUGGAUGGACCCAGAUAUUAUCAUAUUAAGUGAAGUAAGUUAGACAAAGACAAAUACCAUAUGAGACCGCUUAUAUGUGAAAUCUAAAAUAUAACACAAAUGAACUUAUUUCCAAAACAGAAAGAGACUCACAGAUAUAGAAAACAAAGUUAUGGCUACCAAAUAGGAAAGGGGGGGGAUAAAACAGGAGUUCGGGAUUAAUAUAUACACACUACUAUAUAUAAAGUAGAUCUCCAAGAAGGAUCCACUGUAUGACAAAGGGAACUACACUCAAUAUUUUCUAAUAACAGGGGAGAGAAUCUGAAAAAGUAUACACAAACUAUAUACAUCAUAUAAAACCGAAUCAAUGUACUGUACAGCUAAAACUAACGUGAGAUUGUAAAUCAACUAUACUUCAAUAAUAAAAAAAAGAAAUCUUAUUCAGAGCAAAUAUUAGCUGUUUUUAGUAAGAAGCCAGUGUGCUACGGAUAAUGUUUCAGGUUAGAAAUGUUUUGCACUAUUUCAGUUAUGAUGACAUCUCCAGAUUUGUAAAUAUCUCCUCAUUCAUUUCCCAAAAGGCACUUACACUGAGACAGACUUGGACCUGGGACCCUCUGCUUCAGUGCUUGCACCUAGACAAAUGUCUCCCCCAUCAACAAAAUACAAAGAAAUUAUAAGGGAUGAAAAAUAACUGUGCAUGUGUAGUUGGGGCAAGUUGUGGGCAAGACUCGGAGAGGCUGAAAAGAACCCAACUGCCACUUCUGGAAAGCCUGGAGGAAAAGCAGGGUACUGUGCAUGCUCCCUGCACACAGCACCAACAAAGGGGGUGGGCAGACCACCUAAGCCACCCCUCUGACCAGAUCUCUGGAUCCACCCCUCCCCUCACCCAUGGAAGGAGUCAGCUCACCCCGCCUCAGGGAGCCAGCAAGGGAAUCUGUCACUUGCUUUUGCUCCCUCCUGUGCAGCAGGGACCCUGAUAAAGCCUUGCCUGAAUUUCUUGUCUGGACUUAUCAAUUUUUAAUGAUUAAGAAAGCCAAGAACUGGUUGGAAACAAGGCUGGUCUGUAGGAAGGAUGGGGGGGAAGGUUGACUCUUUCCCUGGGCAAGAAAAAGUGGCCUAGUCUUAGGAAUCUUAUCAUUUCCAAACACUUUUUUUCCUGAAGUGACUCACAGAUGGAGUCAACUGGGCCAAAUUUUAUCUGCUCAGUGGGUUUCUUCUUAAGAUUUUUCUAUAGACUGAUGCCCUGGUUUGCUGUCCCUUCGGUUUCGGGGAGGUUGCAAAUUCUUAGUCCGAGAUACUGUUCUCACCUUGAGUGAACGUGCUGUGCCAAAACCACCAGACCUACUGGCCACGGGUGACUUUAAAUUCACACGGGGAACUACAAUGAUUUCUGUGCUUCUCUGUCCUGAGGCGGUUCUGUGGGCGUCUUAAGAACCCAGUCUAGAAUACUUGUGCCCAAGACUUUGAUCCUUCAGUUUAUACUCUGCUCAUGCUCAGAUCCUCCUUUCUUCUUCCCCACCCCUCCCCAAUCCUCCUCUUUCCUAUUCACUUUUGACUCCAAUUUUACACCUCCACCUAGAGGGUUCCAGAGACAGUUCUGGUGCAGCCACUGCCUUGCCUCUCACUUCCUCAUCCUGCCUCUAGGGGACGCUGCUUCUGCUCUCUGACGGACACAGCUACUCUCUCCCUCAGGACCCCAUGGCAGCAACUGUCCCUUGGCCAGUGACAAAAAGGUCUGGGAAAGAGACUCUCCCUUACACUUCUUAUCGUGACAGGGUGUGGGUUUCACCAAAACUGCUCCAGUCUUUGAGCUUCAUCCUUCACAAGAAAACCAGCAAAACAGGAGUUCCUGGGUGUCUCAGUGGGUUAAGGAUUCAGCGCUGUCACUGUGGUUGGGGUUCGACCCCUGGCCCGGGGACUUCUGCAUGCAGCGGGGCGAAAACAAAACAAAAAACAAUGUGAAGGGUAUUAAGGUUUAGUGUAUUCUCUGCAGAUUCACAAAAGUUUUGAAAAUGAAGUAUUGCAUUCCAGGGAGUUCCCGUCGUUGCUCAGUGUAAACAAAUCUGACUAGCAUCCAUGAGCACGCAGGUUUAAUCCCUGGCCUUGCUCAGUGGGUUAAAGGAUCCGGCAUUGCUGUAGCUGUGGUGUAGGUCGCAGACACAGCUCGGAUCCGUGUUGCUGUGGCUGUAGUGUAGCUGGCAGCUGUAGCUCCAAUUCCACCCCUAGCCUGGGAACCUCCAUAUGCCCCGGGUGUGGCCCUAAAAAUACACACAAAAAAAAAUACGAAAAAAAACAAAACAAAAAACGUAUUGCACUCCAUUGUUCUUUAAUGACAUUCCUUAUUCAGAGUUUUCCCUUUAUGCUCAUCUUCUGUAUUUUGCACUCUGCUCUCCUAUUAGAAUCAAGCAGUGGUGGCAGUUUCCAGCAUUGAAUAAAAGGCAAUGACACUCAGCAGGCGUAAGCCACCACUUCAAUGAUUUGUAUUCUUCCGCGCCUCUGCGCCACAGGGAGCAUCGUGAUCACUGUGAACUUUCCCGUCAUGUCCAGAAGCACGUCCCUGUUCUCCAAGGCGUUUCUGGUCCAUCGCUUAGCCAAUUACCAACCCAGCGGGAGGAGUCUCCCACUGUGGAGCCGCAGUCGGCAUGGAAUGCAGGCAGCUCUGUGUUUAUAGGCAGCACAACCCAGAUCAGAGGAACGGAACGACACGUUUGAAGCUACACCUCGCGAAGGAUCCACUGAUAAAUUUCGCAUCACAAGAGCUAUGGAGCGGGACGCGGGGCCAUGGAGUCCAUGUAAUUCCUUCUCCUGUUGUUCCUUCUCUUGUUGCUCUCAGACAAGAUGAGCAAGGGAUUUUAUACAAUACAGAAGGGUUCUUGAGUUCCCCUCGUGGCGCAGUGGUUAACGAAUCCGACUAGAAACCAUGAGGUUGAGGGUUCGAUUCCUGGCCUUGCUCAGUGGGUUAAGGAUCCCGUGUUGCGGUGAGCUGUGGAGUAGGUCGCAGACGUGGCUCGGAUCCGCGUUGCUGUGGCUGUGGUGUAGGCCAGCAGCUAUAGC
This 5542-nucleotide long non-coding RNA is filed under the name Sus scrofa (pig). Its description in RNAcentral is "lncRNA (ENSSSCG00040020199.1)". The record is from RNAcentral. Lineage: Eukaryota; Metazoa; Chordata; Mammalia; Artiodactyla; Suidae.